Molecule: long non-coding RNA, 2723 nt
Filed under: Sus scrofa (pig)
Lineage: Eukaryota; Metazoa; Chordata; Mammalia; Artiodactyla; Suidae
Description: lncRNA (ENSSSCG00050016491.1)
Source: RNAcentral
GCUCUCGGGAAGAUCCUUAUCGCUGUGUCAGCGCUCAGCCUGCGGCAGUCUAUUCAACGGAGCAAGAUGAAGCUCAGCACGGAUUCAAGGGACGAGGAGUUAGCAUCCACCGCUAGAUGGAAGGACCUGCAAAGACACGAUGCAAAGGAAGAGGAAAUCGGGGCCAUCACCAGGGCAGUGCAUCACAGCAGACAGAGACAGAUGAACGUUCAGAAAACGGACAGUUGGUUCUUAUUAUUCACAGCAGACCUGUGUUCUGUAAAGUCACCACAACACUGAAUUAGCGAGUGCGGAAGGAUUGCUGUCGGGAAACACGAGGUUGGGUUCCUGGGAGCCUCCAGGUCACAAUAUCUUCAUCACUUCAAAGGGCAUCUAUGCUGUAAAGGUUUGUUUGCCGACCUCCUUGUGAAACAAGCUCAUCAGCGUUAAAAAUGUACCCUCCCACAAAACUCUUUUCUUGUAUAACACUUGGUAUCUGUAAAACUCCUCUGAUCAUCAGGGCUUACCUGGACCAGGGUCUGGUCUGAUCUCCAGUGCAGCAGGCUCACUUGGCCCACUGCGCUGUGGAAGGAAAAUGUUAUAGAGUUUCUAAGGAUGUAUUUCUCUUUCAUUUGUGACUUUAGAAAAUGAUGCCACAUCACCCAGCCAUGCCCUUCACUGAGCCGCUCUGGUUUCUCAACUGGGAAAUGUGAUAACCCCUUUCCCUGGCUGGGCCCCUGCCUCACGGUACUAGUCUGGGUUCAGUGGCCCAAGUGACACUGAAAAUACCAGUUUUUCCUUCAUUUGAGGUCACUUUUAUGUGUUUCUAACUGUGACCAGAAGAUGGCGCCCAUUCCCAACAAGUGGCCAAGAGCAGCCUGAGUCCCUCACAUUGGUGCUUGUAGCCAGUUGCUACAGUGUUAUGUCAGUAAUUACCAACGGCCCUGCUACCAUCCUGAUAACCUUGCCACGCUGGUACUUGGAUAGUGUGUUCCUGAACUUCCCAGCAGGUGGGGAAGGACCUGAGAGCACUGGUUUGCAGACAGCGCCCCGUGUCCAGGGCCUGGAACGCCAAAGGCUUGGCAGGGCCUGGGUGUGCUUGCGGGGGCGGGGACAGAACCCCAGCUGCUCUUCAUCCCUCUUCCAUUUCGUUCUCUUCCCACUGCAAUUCCAAGACUUUCCUACAGACAAGACCCUCCCCCUAGCAUGGCUGCUGCUUGCUGAGAGCAGGUUACAUUCCAGACGCUGGAGGGACCCUUUCCGUGAAUAGUUGAAGUCUCUGAACAGUCCGGGAGGAAGGGGUUUAGAAGCUCUUUCAAAAAGGAGGAAGCACAGGCUUCAAAAGAGUCCCAGCAGGUGGCAGGGGAGGGAUUCUAGUAAGGCAGCCAGAACAUCUCGGUGCACCUCUUUCCUGGCGCAGCACGGAGUCCAAGGAACUGAGAACUCAGAGGUGGGUGAGCUCUGGAUCCCUGGGCUCCUGGAGUUCACCAUCCAGUUAGAGAGAGGGCCACACAUGCAUGCGCGCAUACACACACACACACACACACACACACACACACACACACACUCUCUCACACACUCUAUUACCAGCAGAUUGUGUGAUACAUGAGGACACGCAGGUCUGAAGAACUUGCAAAGGGGCGCUGCCCUCAGCCCUCCUGAGUUUCCACGUUGUUUUGCUGUUAGAGAGAAAUGCUUGCUCCCAGCAAUGCAGGAGGGAUAGUCCCACAGCAGUGCUUCUCAAACUUACUUGGGUUCUUGCUAAAGAGGCAGGUGUGGAGUGGGGCCUGGGAUUCUGAAUUUCUAACAGCCUGAGGGGUAGAGUGGAUACCGCUGGUUCAGAGACCACAGGGAGCAGCAAGGGCUGCUGGAGGGUUGGCCCAGGACCUCUUAGGGAUGGCCCAUGAACUAAGAAUGGUUUUACAUUUCCAAAGGGCUGUAGGAAAAAAAGAAGGAGAAAAAGAAGAAUAUGCAGCAGGUCAUAGGUAGCCCUCAAAACCUAAGAUAUUUGCCAUCUGGCCCUUUAUCUAAAAAACUCUGCAGACUCUGGGACUAAAGCACUUCUGCCCGCCCCCCACCUUGGACUCCAUCAGAAGAACUGUCAUAAGCUUCCAGCCUCCUUCAAGGAGAUGAAACCUCAACGCCUCUGGCCGGGUCUCAUUGUAAUGCCCCUUCUCCCAUCUUGACCAGCCUGGGUUGCUCCCUCCCUGCUAGAGAAGGAAUGUGCCCAUUUUUCACCCAGCCUUCGCAUACCCUGUUCCCCAUGCAAAUAAAGCAUCCUGCCCAAGACCAAUCAGAAGGUCUAAUUGGGUCCCCACUCAGGUCGCCUUGUGGGGUAUAAAGACUAUUGCAGAGUGAGUCGGGGCUUCUCUUUUUAACCGGUGUGCACAGGAGUCCUCUCUCCCUCUCUGAAAAUGUGCUUUUGCUUUAAUAAAUUUGUAAAAUGUCCAUCAUUUCAAUGCUUUGUUAUGGUGAGACAGGGACCAGCAACCUGUGACGCUAUCACAACAAGUCCUCUUCAUGGCAGUUUGGAAGAGAAAGCCAGGCUCACUCAGCUUUGCUCUGUGCCCCCAGCCUUCUGCCUGCAGGAAGCCUAUAUUCUGGGAGAAGCGGGUUGGGACUCUGCUGUGGGGGAUGGGCCUGCGGUGGUCCCACUGAUGCAGUGACGAGGUAAAUGGGGAGUCAAGUGAACCCACUUUCCCGCACACCUGGGGCCAGCUCUCCAGGCCACUCAUCUGUCAUCA